This 72-nucleotide transfer RNA is filed under the name Dallia pectoralis (Alaska blackfish). RNAcentral describes it as "tRNA-iMet". It matches the Rfam family "tRNA". From Rfam's summary of the family: Transfer RNA (tRNA) molecules are approximately 80 nucleotides in length. Their secondary structure includes four short double-helical elements and three loops (D, anti-codon, and T loops). Further hydrogen bonds mediate the characteristic L-shaped molecular structure. tRNAs have two regions of fundamental functional importance: the anti-codon, which is responsible for specific mRNA codon recognition, and the 3' end, to which the tRNAs corresponding amino acid is attached (by aminoacyl-tRNA synthetases). tRNAs cope with the degeneracy of the genetic code in two manners: having more than one tRNA (with a specific anti-codon) for a particular amino acid; and 'wobble' base-pairing, i.e. permitting non-standard base-pairing at the 3rd anti-codon position. The record is from RNAcentral. Lineage: Eukaryota; Metazoa; Chordata; Actinopteri; Esociformes; Umbridae.
AGCAGAGUGGCGCAGCGGAAGCGUGCUGGGCCCAUAACCCAGAGGACAAUGGAUUGAAACCACCCUCUGCUA